RNAcentral lists this long non-coding RNA (421 nucleotides) under Helianthus annuus (common sunflower). RNAcentral's name for it is "hypothetical non coding rna". The record is from RNAcentral. Lineage: Eukaryota; Viridiplantae; Streptophyta; Magnoliopsida; Asterales; Asteraceae.
UAGAGAGAGAAAAUGUCUGGAAGAGGAAAAGGAGGCUAAUGAUUGGGAAAAUGAGGAGCAAAACGACACCGUAAGGUUCUUCCAGACAACAUUCAGGGAAUUACGAAGCCGGCAAUCCGCCGGCUUGCACGACGUGGUGGCGUGAAGCUUUAAUACGGUCUGAUUUAUGAAGAGACACGUGUCGUGUUGAAGAUAUUCUUGGAGAAUGUGAUAAGAGACGCGGUUACGUACACGGAGCAUGCAAGGAGGAAGACUGUUACUGCCAUGGAUGUUUAUGCGUUGAAGAGGCAGGGGCAUACGCUGGCCUGGCAAACACUAAAUAGUUGGUUAGGUUGUGUAGAGGUUUGUUAGUGGUAGUUGUGUAAUUGAAGUUUGUUUGGGAAUCAAGUGAUUUUGAAUGGAUUUUGCUUUAGUUUGGUUU